This 500-nucleotide ribosomal RNA is filed under the name uncultured bacterium. Its description in RNAcentral is "partial 16S ribosomal RNA". It matches the Rfam family "Bacterial small subunit ribosomal RNA", at positions 29 to 523 of the family's 1533-position model. The record is from RNAcentral.
AUUGAACGCUGGCGGCAUGCUUUACACAUGCAAGUCGAACGGCAGCACGGGCUUCGGCCUGGUGGCGAGUGGCGAACGGGUGAGUAAUACAUCGGAACGUACCCAGUAGUGGGGGAUAGCCCGGCGACAGCCGGAUUAAUACCGCAUAUGCCCUGAGGGGGAAAGCGGGGGACCGAAAGGCCUCGCGCCAUUGGAGCGGCCGAUGGCUGAUUAGCUAGUUGGUGGGGUAAAGGCCUACCAAGGCGACGACCAGUAGCUGGUCUGAGAGGACGACCAGCCACACUGGGACUGAGACACGGCCCAGACUCCUACGGGAGGCAGCAGUGGGGAAUUUUGGACAAUGGGCGAAAGCCUGAUCCAGCAAUGCCGCGUGUGCGAAGAAGGCCUUCGGGUUGUAAAGCACUUUUGUUUGGAAAGAAAAGGUUUGGGUUAAUACCCUGGACUGAUGACGGUACCAAUCGAAUAAGCACCGGCUAACUACGUGCCAGCAGCCGCGGUAA